UUUUAUGGCGGCUGUGCGCAGGGCACCCUCGGGUGCGCCGGAUUCCUUGUGGCCGGUCGACUAACCUGCGUACAGCCGCCACCCUU
Molecule: non-coding RNA, 86 nt
Organism: Pseudomonas brenneri
Lineage: Bacteria; Pseudomonadati; Pseudomonadota; Gammaproteobacteria; Pseudomonadales; Pseudomonadaceae
Source: Rfam